AGAAGCAGCGUGAUGAUCAGUUGUUCCUGCUCCAGGAGGAUGGAUUCCGCCAAGGUGACCUGUUUUUCCUAGUUUGUGUGCCUUAUAUGGACAAAAAACACCUUCUUCUGAAAGGCAGCACACACAUGUGUUUAAGGAGCAUUAUAAAAGCUGAUGUUUGUAAGAGGAUGGUUGUGUACCUGGCUCGACUUCCUGUGGCUGGAUGCAGACUGAAGCUAGACCGUAGAGGGAGAAGAUGACGAAGGCGACGAUGAUGAAGCCGUACCAUUUGAGUGUGCACAUUCCUCACUGAGAAUCCCAGUUAGUGUGAAGAGGGUGAAAACCAGGAGAGAGAACAUGAUCGUCAACACCUCCAUCUCAGUUAUCAGAGAGGCCAUCGGUUCACGCCUGCUGCCAC
Amphiprion ocellaris (clown anemonefish) is the source of this 397-nucleotide long non-coding RNA. RefSeq lists it as uncharacterized. The record is from RefSeq and is a predicted model, not a curated record. NCBI's taxonomy places the organism in Eukaryota, Metazoa, Chordata, Actinopteri, Pomacentridae. The transcript is spliced from 3 exons.